RNAcentral lists this ribosomal RNA (500 nucleotides) under uncultured bacterium. Its description in RNAcentral is "partial 16S ribosomal RNA". It matches the Rfam family "Bacterial small subunit ribosomal RNA", at positions 30 to 523 of the family's 1533-position model. The record is from RNAcentral.
AUUGAACGCUGGCGGAAUGCUUUACACAUGCAAGUCGAACGGAAGCACGGGGGCAACCCUGGUGGCGAGUGGCGAACGGGUGAGUAAUACAUCGGAACGUGCCCAGUCGUGGGGGAUAACGUAGCGAAAGUUACGCUAAUACCGCAUACGAUCUACGGAUGAAAGCGGGGGACCGUAAGGCCUCGCGCGAUUGGAGCGGCCGAUGUCAGAUGAGGUAGUUGGUGAGGUAAAGGCUCACCAAGCCGACGAUCUGUAGCUGGUCUGAGAGGACGACCAGCCACACUGGGACUGAGACACGGCCCAGACUCCUACGGGGAGCAGCAGUGGGGAAUUUUGGACAAUGGGCGCAAGCCUGAUCCAGCCAUUCCGCGUAAGUGAAGAAGGCCUUCGGGUUGUAAAGCUCUUUCGAAAGGGAAGAAAACUUAGCCACUAACAUUGGUUGAGGUUGACGGUACCUUGAUAAGAAGCACCGGCUAACUACGUGCCAGCCGCCGCGGUAA